This 460-nucleotide ribosomal RNA is filed under the name uncultured bacterium. RNAcentral describes it as "partial 16S ribosomal RNA". It matches the Rfam family "Bacterial small subunit ribosomal RNA", at positions 338 to 795 of the family's 1533-position model. The record is from RNAcentral.
CCUACGGGGUGCUGCAGUGAGGAAUAUUGGUCAAUGGACGAGAGCCUGAACCAGCCAAGUAGCGUGAAGGAUGACUGCCCUACGUGUCGUAAACCUCUUUUAUAAAGGAAUAAAGUGUUGCACGUGUGCCUUUUUGUAUGUACUUUAUGAAUAAUCAUCGGCUAACUCCGUGCCAGCAGCCGCGGUAAUACGGAGGAUCCGCUCGUUCUCCGGAUUUAUUGGGUUUAAAGGGAGCGUAGGGGGGUUUGUAAGUCAGUUGUGAAUGUUUGCGGAGCAAACCUAAAAUUGCAGUUGAAACAGGCAGUCUUGAGGACAGUAGAGGGUGGCGGAAUUCGUGGUGUAGCGGUGAAAUGCUUAGAUAGCACGAAGAACUCCGAUUGCGAAGGCAGCUUGCUGGACUGAAACUGACACUGAGGCUCGAAAGUGUGGGUAUCAAACAGGAUUAGAUACCCAUGUAGUC